Hemibagrus wyckioides is the source of this 497-nucleotide long non-coding RNA. RefSeq lists it as uncharacterized. Lineage: Eukaryota; Metazoa; Chordata; Actinopteri; Siluriformes; Bagridae. The record is from RefSeq and is a predicted model, not a curated record. The transcript has 3 exons.
AGCUUUUUUUGACGUGUCUUUGAACACAGCCAAAGUCCGACUUCUACUGAACUCGCCAAGCAGACCAGGAAAACUAUUCUCUUUAUAGUAUUAAGGUUUAUUUGAUGUUACAGCACUUUUUCUGCUCUCUACAUGUGAAGGGUCGCCACAGCCAGUCCACACAACAACUUGGCAUAGAUUUUACGCCGGAUGCCCUUCCUGUCACAACCCUCCCAUUUUUAUCCGGGCUCGGGACCGGCACUACAUCCAGUGGCAGGGGUUUGGGCACUGGCUGGGAAUUAAACCCAGGCCUUCCGGAUGGCAGGCGAGAAACCUACCUCUGAGCCACCAGCACCCAAUUGUUCAGCAUUUAAUCUAUGAGUUCAGAAUGAGAUUACGGAUUACAAUGACGUCCAGAAUUGCUACGGGGAAAUACAAGGAUACGGAUGAGCUCUUUCCACUGCCCUACUUCUCCCAAUGGGCUCCGAAGCCAUUCUCAUAAAAGUUACAUAUUACCG